Hemicordylus capensis (graceful crag lizard) is the source of this 4618-nucleotide long non-coding RNA. RefSeq lists it as uncharacterized. The transcript has 5 exons. The record is from RefSeq and is a predicted model, not a curated record. NCBI's taxonomy places the organism in Eukaryota, Metazoa, Chordata, Lepidosauria, Squamata, Cordylidae.
GAGGGAGGGGCCCUGGUGGGAGUUGCCCACUAGUUCAAUCCUUCCCAGAGAGACUCAUCACAGCGCCUUUCAGCAUCUUCCUAUAUCGCUGCUGCCCGAUAUAGUACCAGCCGGGAUUCAAACCAGCAACCUUCUGCUUUUUAGUCAAGCAUUUUCCUGCUGCGCCACUUAAGGUGCAGCGGGGAAAUGCUUUAUCUGUUACAGAAAGAUUUUCACAUAUUUGAACAUUUUUAUUUCUCCUUUUUAAAUCAUAUUAUAUACAUAAUUAUAUUAUAUACAAUGUUAUGUGCAUAAUUAAGUAAAAUCUUUAUGUAUGAAAUUUUGAAUACACACUAACUGUAUUUAUUUCAAAUUUUUAUUUUUUACUAUAACUAAGGGGGCUCAACAGCAUGUUGCAUUGGGGCGCCAGAUCCCCCAGAGGUGGCCCUGCACCCAACCCACCUCGCAGAUGCACAUGGAGACAAGCCUGAGUCUUACUUAUUCCAGUGCAAUAUACUUUCAUGCAUAUCCGUCGCUAAUCCUAUGUGUGGCAGCACUCGCGAGAGUUCGAGCAGCUGUCGGAUAGCGAUGGGGAUGGGAGAGAGGGAAGAAAAUGGAGGUGGCAACCAGCUGGCUGGUGAGGAAACAAAACAGUGGAAAAUAAUGCUCAGGAUCACCAAUGCAGAUUAGAGCCCUAUGUGGAAAGGGAAAAGCCGGAUGUUCAAGCUGGUUUCAGAAAAGGCCGAGGAACAAGAUACAUCAUUGCUGGCACACGAUGGAUAAUUGAGGAAGCCAAAGGAUACCAAAAAGAAGUCAAUAUGUGCUUUAUUGACUACAGAAAAGCCUUCAGUUGCAUCGGCCAUGUCAAGCUGUGGGAUAUCCUUAGAAAAAUGGGCAUCCCAGAAAAUCUCAUUCUUCUCAUGAGAAACCUAUACACAGGACAGGAAGCCACAGUCCAGACAGAACAUGGUAAAACAGUCUGGCUCCAGAUUGGCAAAGGAGUAAGACAUGGCUGUCUACUUUCUCCUUAUUUAUUCAACAUAUGCUGAACAUAUACUGAGAGAAGCUGGACUGGAAGAUGAGCAUGGUUUUAAAGUUGGAGGAAGAAACAUCAAUAACGUGCACUACGCUGAUGACACCACUCUGCUAGUUGAGAAUGUGGAUGAUCUGCAAGCUCUAGUAAUGAAAGCUGCUGCCACCAUGGAGGAAAGGGAGGCCUGCUCCACUCACCCCUCAGCCACCACCCCUCGGCCACGAGCUGCACAUGACAGCUGAAAUUUUGAAGAAGAAAAAUGGAGGUUGAGCACAGCAGGGUUCAUUUAUAGGAUGUGCUUCAGAAACCAAGUCAUUUAUGCCUGAAGAUAUAUCUGAUUCCCUGUAACUAGUUGAAGCUAUGUGUUCAGAUGUUGCAACUACAGGUAGUAAAGAUACUGGAACAAUGAGGCCAGAAGAAGUACUGGGCCUGGGUUGUCAAGCCACUGAACAAAGCUCCCCAGAGAACCCUGUCUCAGAGGAGACUUCACUUCCUGAAGGCCCAGCCAGGGUGUUACAGAUUUGGAAGGUGCAGGAGGAAUUGAACAGGGAUUAUAUGGAGCCUGUGGGAGCGAAUGAUGAAGAAGAGGUGGUGGGCUGGAGGGGCAGAAGUCACCCUUAUUAAGCCUGAUCUGGUGCAAAAGGAGCAGUACUUGCCAGGCAGGACUUAUAAGAUCCAGGGAUAAGAAGUAGGCCUCAGGCUUCUGAAGAGUAGACAGCACCUACAGAGCCCCAGCCCAGAGCAAACGAUCCCAGAGACAUCAAUGCAGACAGUUUACUGCACGGGGAGCAUGCUGCAGAAUUCCUUGCUGAACAAAAGCAGGAUGAAUCCUGUUCAGGUAAUGGGACAUGAUGUCCAUAAAAUGUAUUUCUGAAUAUAACUAUGAUAUGUGUAUUGAUAUUGCAAAGGUGAUAAAAAGUGUUUAUUAAUUUUUAUAUGUGUAACUGGUAAAAGAAAAAGGUAAAGUAUUAAAUGUACUGCAUAUUAAAACCCACAAUGCUUCACCCAUUGCCUAGGAGAGGUUUGGGAAAACCUCCCCUGAAGCAAUGAGAGAAAGGGUGGGACAUGUGACGGAUCCCACAAAUGGGAGUGAAGAGUAAAGCCAGAAAAAUGUUCUGUCUGUGUGUCACCCAGCAGAACCUGCCCAGAAAGAGUAAAUGGCAGGCAGAAUCAGAGUCUGUGACUAACAGCCAGAGAAGGGACCAGUCUGGAAGAGAUACAUUAGGCAAGUUCUGGAGGGAAAAAGGGAGUUCUGUGAAAGCACUGCUUGGGUAUAGUCGUGUUCUGCUCUGAUCUACUGAGAACAAUUUUAAGAAUCACAGUAAUUUUAACACUCCACAGUAAAUGACAGCCUUAUCGUUGUGGGUGGGCCCCCUUUGUCUCCACAGUAUAUUAGGGCCACAGUAUAUUACUAAUAUUAAUUAAAUACAUACCUUUUAUAAAACACAGCAAGCACAAGGCGAAGAGCUGACGAAGCACACCCAAACUGAGGAGGCCGACGCAAUGAAAAAUAUUUGCUGUCUUUGCAAUGUGGGCAUGGGCAAUAGCUCGCAUGUCAAGGGCGUAGGGACUGAGCAGUGACUCGCGGAGGAUCUGCUCAAGGGCCAGCUGCAUGGUGUUGCUCAGCAGCAUCAGGCCCAAGGUGGCCAGUGGAGUGGCAGCAGUGGCGGGCGGGAGCCACAGCGGGCAUGUGCAUCCCGCCAGCACCCGCUGCCCUCUGCCAGGUGCCCCCAGCCGGGUGGGCAUAAUAUUCUUAAAUAUAAAGUAUCCUUAUAUAAAGUGUGUGUGUGUGUAUAUAUAUAUAAUUUUUUUUAAUUAAAAUAGUAAUACGACAUAAAUUUUAGUUGCAUACAGUAAUAAUAUUGGAACUUCUAUUUUAUUCAAACUACUAAAAGGUCAUUAACAUUUUUAACAUAUUGUCUAAUGUUUAAGGGGGCUGACAACCUGGUCAGUCCGCCACUGGACAUCAGAUGUAGGGGGGGCCUGUCUGGGGCUGUACUCGCGACCCCUGAUUGGUGGCAGCCUGGGUUCUUUGAAUCCGUUCACUUAAUAAUGGCUCUGCCCCUGUUCAGAAUUCAUAAUGAAAACACUGAAGUGGUGGAUAACUUUUAGGAUCAACCAUCAACAGUAAAGGAUCCAGCAGUCAAGAAAUAUGUCGCAGUCUAGCACUUGGUGAGGUUGCAAUGAAGGCCUUGGAAAGGAUAUUUAUUAUUUUAUUAUCAUUAUUAUCUACAUUUUAUAUCCCGCUCUUCCUCCAAGGAGCCCAGAGCAGUGUACUACAUACUUAGGUUUCUCCUUACAACAACCCUGUGAAGUAUGUUAGGCUGAGAGAGAAGUGAGUGGCCCAGAGUCCAGAGCCGUGACGUGUCUACACCUACAAAGAUUAGAAUAGUUCAGAACAUGGUUUUUCCCGUGACACUCUCUGGAUGCAAAAGCUGGACUUUGAAGGAGCAAGAAAGAAAAAGUAUUGACGCUUUUGAACUUUGGUGCUGGAGAAAACUUUUGAGGAUACCAUAGACAGCCAGGAAAACAAACAAAUGGAUCAUAGAGCAAAUCAAUGCAGAAUUUUCACUCAAGGCACAAAUGACCAGGCUCAAACUAUCAUACUUUGGACACAUUAUGCGAAUACCCAGCUCCCAGCUCCAUAACGCUGAAGUUGAAGGAAAGAGAAGUUGAAGGAAAGAGAAGACGAUGACCAGCAGCAAGGUGGAUGGACUUGAUUACGACAGCAAUGAAUGCAUCACUGAGAGAUCUUAAAGGCCAAGUUGAAGGCAGAUAAUCCUGGAGAGAAUCUAACUAUGUGGUCACAAGAAUCAACACCAACUUGAAAGCACUUAAUCAAAAUCUUUACAGAUUGCAUAGCACAUAGGUUCAGGUAACCACCUUAACUUGCAUUAUCCAUGCAUUUUACAGCAUGAGUGAAAAUUGUAAGCACUUUAGUUCUCAUCUUAAACCAAUUCUUUUCUUGAUAUUUUAAUUAUAUAUAAUGUACUGAACACUGCUUUUGACUUAAAAAGUAAAUUCCGUCUUUAAAAACUAGUGGCAUUCAGAUUUCCUAAAUUCGAGGAUUAUAUUCCACAUUGCUUUUCCUGUUGAAGAAUCUAAAUUUCUGCCAUGACAUUAUUGCCAAUUGCAGAGUUUUCUGCAACAAGUUGCGGAAUGCACACCCACUUCAUUUAGGGAACUGGCCAGAUUUCCUGAACCUCCUCAUUUCUCCAAAUAAAUGAAAAGCCAUAGCAUACACCUUAUACUCACCUGUGUUUACGCUUGAAUUGAAACAAGCUUUUGUUUGGAAAAGCUUAUCAUUCACUACUAAUAUUCUCAUUGAAGAACUCCCAGUUAGCUUCCACAGGUGUUUCUGAAAACACAAACUGACAACACCACUCUAAAUUAUUUGCUUGGAGAAGUGCAAAGAAGCUUAUCUUCUGCUUCCUGCAACUUUCUAUAGAAGUGAAGUCUACACAAUGAGCCCCUGGUGGCGCAGUGGUAAAACUGCCGCCCUGUAACCAGAAGGUUACAAGUUCGAUCCUGACCAGGGGCUCAAGGUUGACUCAGCCUUCCAUCCUUCCGAGAUCGGUAAAAUGAGUACCCAGAAUGUUGGGGGCA